CCGACCGCGUCCGUUAUGGGUCAAAUUGAAUUGUAUCAUUCGGUGAAGUGGGCCUGAUACAUCAUGAUUGAGAAUCGGCAUCCGCGAAAGAUAUUGUCUAGCCAUAAUGGAAAACACUAAUAAUCAAUCGUGGCGCCAUCCAUGCAAAAAUAAGUAAUUACAUUAUCGUUUAAAUUAUUCUGUUGUAACCGAAUAUUUGGAUCAGCUAGUUCAUCGAAUCAACUGCGUCUCUUUGCUGUCGAAUGUUGAAUUAUAUCAUUCGAAUUUCUUUUUGGAUUGACCUGGUACAGCGUGGGUUGAAAAUCGACAUUCGUGAAAGAUACUGAAUUUCUUUUUGGGCUGACCUGGCACAGCAUGAAUCGAAAAUCGGCAUCUACGAAGAAUAUUGGAUUCCUAAAAUCAAUAAAACCUGGAAUCAAUAAAGCUUGGAAUCAAUAAAGCGGAAUUAAUGUGGCGGAAUCAACGUUCUUGUCUUUUGCAGAAUUCGUUGGAUUAACGGGAUCAGCGGCGCAGAGUGACCGGGCAGGCGAAUCUCUUUUCGCCGGUGUGGGUUCGAAGGUGCCGCUGCAACUCAUCCGAACGUGUGAACCGCUUGCCA
Non-coding RNA from Linepithema humile (Argentine ant), 598 nucleotides. NCBI's taxonomy places the organism in Eukaryota, Metazoa, Arthropoda, Insecta, Hymenoptera, Formicidae. The record is from RefSeq and is a predicted model, not a curated record.